UCGAGGAUCUUCGGCAAUGGGCGCAAGCCUGACCGAGCGACGCCGCGUGUGCGAUGAAGGCCUUCGGGUUGUAAAGCACUGUCGAGGGGGAUAAAGCCCGCAAGGGUUGAUUGAUCCCUGGAGGAAGCACGGGCUAAGUUCGUGCCAGCAGCCGCGGUAAGACGAACCGUGCGAACGUUGUUCGGAAUCACUGGGCUUAAAGGGCGCGUAGGCGGCGGUUCAAGUCCGGGGUGAAAGCCCCCAGCUUAACUGGGGAAGGGCCUUGGAUACUGAAUCGCUCGAGGGAGGUAGGGGUCGAGGGAACUUCUGGUGGAGCGGUGAAAUGCGUUGAUAUCAGAAGGAACGCCGGUGGCGAAAGCGCUCGACUGGACCUUUACUGACGCUGAGGCGCGAAAGCUAGGGGAGCAAACGGGAUUAGAUACCCCUGUAGUCC
RNAcentral lists this ribosomal RNA (433 nucleotides) under uncultured bacterium. RNAcentral's name for it is "bacterial SSU rRNA". It matches the Rfam family "Bacterial small subunit ribosomal RNA", at positions 355 to 796 of the family's 1533-position model. The record is from RNAcentral.